Molecule: ribosomal RNA, 586 nt
Filed under: uncultured bacterium
Lineage: Bacteria
Description: bacterial SSU rRNA
Rfam family: Bacterial small subunit ribosomal RNA
Source: RNAcentral
CCUACGGGAGGCAGCAGUGGGGAAUAUUGCACAAUGGGGGAAACCCUGAUGCAGCCAUGCCGCGUGUGUGAAGAAGGCCUUCGGGUUGUAAAGCACUUUCAGUUGUGAGGAAAAGUUAGUAGUUAAUACCUGCUAGCCGUGACGUUAACAACAGAAGAAGCACCGGCUAACUCCGUGCCAGCAGCCGCGGUAAUACGGAGGGUGCGAGCGUUAAUCGGAAUUACUGGGCGUAAAGCGCACGCAGGCGGUUUGUUAAGCUAGAUGUGAAAGCCCCGGGCUCAACCUGGGAUGGUCAUUUAGAACUGGCAGACUAGAGUCUUGGAGAGGGGAGUGGAAUUCCAGGUGUAGCGGUGAAAUGCGUAGAUAUCUGGAGGAACAUCAGUGGCGAAGGCGACUCCCUGGCCAAAGACUGACGCUCAUGUGCGAAAGUGUGGGUAGCGAACAGGAUUAGAUACCCUGGUAGUCCACAUCGUAAACGCUGUCUACUAGCUGUUUGUGACUUUAAGUCGUGAGUAGCGAAGCUAACGCGAUAAGUAGACCGCCUGGGGAGUACGGCCGCAAGGUUAAAACUCAAAGGAAUUGACGG